UACAGAGGUCCCAAGCGUUGUUCGGAUUCAUUGGGCGUAAAGGGUGCGUAGGUGGCGCUGUAAGUCGGGUGUGAAAUUUCGGAGCUUAACUCCGAAACUGCAUUCGAUACUGCGGUGCUUGAGGACUGGAGAGGAGACUGGAAUUCAUGGUGUAGCAGUGAAAUGCGUAGAGAUCAUGAGGAAGACCAGUGGCGAAGGCGGGUCUCUGGACAACACCUGACACUGAGGCACGAAAGCUAGGGGAGCAAGCAGG
Molecule: ribosomal RNA, 253 nt
Filed under: uncultured bacterium
Lineage: Bacteria
Description: partial 16S ribosomal RNA
Rfam family: Bacterial small subunit ribosomal RNA
Source: RNAcentral